GACGAACGCUGGCGGCGUGCUUAACACAUGCAAGUCGAACGGAAAGGCCCUGCUUUUGUGGGGUGCUCGAGUGGCGAACGGGUGAGUAACACGUGAGUAACCUGCCCUUGACUUUGGGAUAACUUCAGGAAACUGGGGCUAAUACCGGAUAGGAGCUCCUGCUGCAUGGUGGGGGUUGGAAAGUUUCGGCGGUUGGGGAUGGACUCGCGGCUUAUCAGCUUGUUGGUGGGGUAGUGGCUUACCAAGGCUUUGACGGGUAGCCGGCCUGAGAGGGUGACCGGCCACAUUGGGACUGAGAUACGGCCCAGACUCCUACGGGAGGCAGCAGGGGAGAAUAUUGCACAAUGGGCGGAAGCCUGAUGCAGCAACGCCGCGUGCGUGAUGACGGCCUUCGGGUUGUAAACCGCUUUCGCCUGUGACGAAGCGUGAGUGACGGUAAUGGGUAAAGAAGCACCGGCUAACUACGUG
RNAcentral lists this ribosomal RNA (468 nucleotides) under uncultured bacterium. RNAcentral describes it as "partial 16S ribosomal RNA". It matches the Rfam family "Bacterial small subunit ribosomal RNA", at positions 28 to 507 of the family's 1533-position model. The record is from RNAcentral.